UUCCAACCUUAAGACCAGUGGCUUUCAGGG
RNAcentral lists this non-coding RNA (30 nucleotides) under Mus musculus (house mouse). The record is from RNAcentral. Lineage: Eukaryota; Metazoa; Chordata; Mammalia; Rodentia; Muridae.